Molecule: ribosomal RNA, 446 nt
Filed under: uncultured bacterium
Lineage: Bacteria
Description: bacterial SSU rRNA
Rfam family: Bacterial small subunit ribosomal RNA
Source: RNAcentral
ACCCAGACUCCUACGGGAGGCAGCAGUGGGGAAUAUUGCACAAUGGGGGGAACCCUGAUGCAGCGACGCCGCGUGGGUGAAGGAGCACCUCGGUGCGUAAAGCCCUAUCAGCAGGAAAGAAAAUGACGGUACCUGACUAAGAAGCCCCGGCUAACUACGUGCCAGCAGCCGCGGUAAUACGUAGGGGGCAAGCGUUAUCCGGAUUUACUGGGUGUAAAGGGAGCGUAGACGGCAGUGCAAGUCCGGAGUGAAAGCCCGGGGCUCAACCCUGGGACUGCUCUGGAAACUGUAAAGCUGGAGUGCGGGAGGGGCAGGCGGAAUUCCUAGUGUAGCGGUGAAAUGCGUAGAUAUUAGGAGGAACACCGGUGGCGAAGGCGGCCUGCUGGACGACGACUGACGCUGAGGCUCGAAAGCGUGGGGAGCAAACAGGAUUAGAUACCCCUGUA